GACGAACGCUGGCGGCGUGCCUAACACAUGCAAGUCGAGCGAGUGGAGUUCUUUGGAACAAAGCUAGCGGCGGACGGGUGAGUAACACGUGGGCAACCUGCCUCAUAGAGGGGAAUAGCCUCCCGAAAGGGAGAUUAAUACCGCAUAAGAUUGUAGCUUCGCAUGAAGUAGCAAUUAAAGGAGCAAUCCGCUAUGAGAUGGGCCCGCGGCGCAUUAGCUAGUUGGUGAGGUAACGGCUCACCAAGGCGACGAUCAGUAGCCGGACUGAGAGGUUGAACGGCCACAUUGGGACUGAGACACGGCCCAG
Molecule: ribosomal RNA, 307 nt
Filed under: uncultured bacterium
Lineage: Bacteria
Description: bacterial SSU rRNA
Rfam family: Bacterial small subunit ribosomal RNA
Source: RNAcentral